RNAcentral lists this ribosomal RNA (491 nucleotides) under uncultured bacterium. RNAcentral's name for it is "bacterial SSU rRNA". It matches the Rfam family "Bacterial small subunit ribosomal RNA", at positions 40 to 507 of the family's 1533-position model. The record is from RNAcentral.
CGGCGUGCCUAACACAUGCAAGUCGUACGAGAAAGCCGGCUUCGGCUGGUGAGUAAAGUGGCGCGCGGGUGAGUAACGCGUGGAUAAUCUGCCCUUAAGUGUGGAAUAACGUACCGAAAGGUGCGCUAAUACCGCAUAAUGCCUGGCAACACAAGUUGUCCGGCCAAAGAAGGCCUCUGUUUACAAGCUUUCGCUUCAGGAUGAGUCCGCGUACCAUUAGCUUGUUGGUGGGGUAAUGGCCUACCAAGGCUGCGAUGGUUAGCUGGUCUGAGAGGAUGAUCAGCCACACUGGAACUGAGACACGGUCCAGACUCCUACGGGAGGCAGCAGUGAGGAAUAUUGCGCAAUGGGGGCAACCCUGACGCAGCAACGCCGCGUGAGUGAGGAAGGUUUUCGGACUGUAAAGCUCUGUCGAGCGGGAAGAAGUGUACCAUGGCUAAUAUCCAUGAUAUUUGACGGUACCGCUAGAGGAAGCACCGGCUAACUCCGUG